Molecule: small nucleolar RNA, 115 nt
Filed under: Sus scrofa (pig)
Lineage: Eukaryota; Metazoa; Chordata; Mammalia; Artiodactyla; Suidae
Description: Small nucleolar RNA SNORA33 (ENSSSCG00070004748.1)
Source: RNAcentral
AAGGUAAAUUUUAGAUCACAUAUAUUUUACCAAAUCAAAAAAAAAAAAUUUCCUGCCAUGUUAAUGAGCCUUAAAGACACUGAACUCAUUAGGGUCCCUGAAUAUGGCUACAAGA